This 485-nucleotide ribosomal RNA is filed under the name uncultured bacterium. Its description in RNAcentral is "partial 16S ribosomal RNA". It matches the Rfam family "Bacterial small subunit ribosomal RNA", at positions 27 to 507 of the family's 1533-position model. The record is from RNAcentral.
GAUUGAACGCUGGCGGCAGGCCUAACCCCUGCAAGUCGAGCGGAUGAAGGGAGCUUGCUCCUGGAUUCAGCGGCGGACGGGUGAGUAAUGCCUAGGAAUCUGCCUGGUAGUGGGGGAUAACGUCCGGAAACGGGCGCUAAUACCGCAUACGUCCUGAGGGAGAAAGUGGGGGAUCUUCGGACCUCACGCUAUCAGAUGAGCCUAGGUCGGAUUAGCUAGUUGGUGGGGUAAAGGCCUACCAAGGCGACGAUCCGUAACUGGUCUGAGAGGAUGAUCAGUCACACUGGAACUGAGACACGGUCCAGACUCCUACGGGAGGCAGCAGUGGGGAAUAUUGGACAAUGGGCGAAAGCCUGAUCCAGCCAUGCCGCGUGUGUGAAGAAGGUCUUCGGAUUGUAAAGCACUUUAAGUUGGGAGGAAGGGCAGUAAGUUAAUACCUUGCUGUUUUGACGUUACCAACAGAAUAAGCACCGGCUAACUUCGUG